AGGGAAGAGGGCACAGCUCAAAUUUGAAAUCUGGCUCUUUCAGAGUCCGAGUUGUAAUUUGUAGAUCGUGUUUCGGAUGCGGUGAUGGCUCAAGUAUUUUGGAAUGAGACAUCAUAGAGGGUGACAAUCCCGUCUUAGCCGACUCACCAAAUUCGUGUGAAGCACUUUCGACGAGUCGAGUUGUUUGGGAAUGCAGCUCAAAAUGGGUGGUAAAUUUCAUCUAAAGCUAAAUAUCAGCCAGAGACCGAUAGCGCACAAGUAGAGUGAUCGAAAGAUGAAAAGCACUUUGAAAAGAGAGUAAAAAAGCACGUGAAACUGUUUGGAGGGAAGCGCUUGCAACCAGACUUGCUCGCAGUGUUCAGCCUCCUGACAAGGUGGUGCACUCUCUGCGUAGCGGGCCAACAUCAGUUUCGACGGCCGGACAAAGACCUAGAAAACGUAGCUUUUCUUCGGGAAAGUGUUAUAGCUUUGGGUGUAAUGCGGUCAGUUGGGACUGAGGAACUGCGCUUUAUGCUAGGAUGUUGGCGUAAUGGUUGUCAGCGACCCGUCUUGAAACACGGACCAAGGAGUCGAAAAAUGGCGCGAGCGUUAGGGUGUUAAACCCUUGCGCGAAAUGAAAGUGAACGUAGGUGGGAGCUUCCCAGUGAAGCGCACCAUCGACCGAUCUGAGUUCGCGAGGAUUUGAGUAUGAGUGCCAUUUUUCGGACCCGAAAGGUAAAGCUAUUUUAUGCCCCAAAUCUUACGAAAUAUAUACUAACAUCUGUAUAGAAGGUGAACUAUUGCUGACUAGGGUGAAGCCAGAGGAAACUCUGGUGGAGGCUCGCAGCGGUUCUGACGUGCAAAUCGAUCGUCAAAGCUGGCAAUAGGGGCGAAAGACUAAUCGAACCUUCUAGUAGCUGGUUCCUGUCGAAGUUUCCCUCAGGAUAGCAGCAACGAAUAGAACAGUCUCAUGAGGUAGAGCAACGAUUAGAGGCCUUGGGGUUGAAACAACCUUAACCUAUUCUCGAACUCCGAAUAUGUGAGAAGUCCUUGUUACUUAAUUGAACGUGGACAUUGGAGAUCGUGCUGGCG
This 1071-nucleotide ribosomal RNA is filed under the name Chapsa patens. RNAcentral's name for it is "eukaryotic LSU rRNA". It matches the Rfam family "Eukaryotic large subunit ribosomal RNA", at positions 92 to 1128 of the family's 3401-position model. The record is from RNAcentral. Lineage: Eukaryota; Fungi; Ascomycota; Lecanoromycetes; Ostropales; Graphidaceae.